Molecule: ribosomal RNA, 494 nt
Filed under: uncultured bacterium
Lineage: Bacteria
Description: partial 16S ribosomal RNA
Rfam family: Bacterial small subunit ribosomal RNA
Source: RNAcentral
UGAACGCUGGCGGCGUGCCUAAUACAUGCAAGUCGAGCGAACAGACGAGGAGCUUGCUCCUCUGACGUUAGCGGCGGACGGGUGAGUAACACGUGGAUAACCUACCUAUAAGACUGGGAUAACUUCGGGAAACCGGAGCUAAUACCGGAUAAUAUAUUGAACCGCAUGGUUCAAUAGUGAAAGACGGUUUUGCUGUCACUUAUAGAUGGAUCCGCGCCGCAUUAGCUAGUUGGUAAGGUAACGGCUUACCAAGGCAACGAUGCGUAGCCGACCUGAGAGGGUGAUCGGCCACACUGGAACUGAGACCCGGUCCAGCCUCCUACGGGAGGCAGCAGUAGGGAAUCUUCCGCAAUGGGCGAAAGCCUGACGGAGCAACGCCGCGUGAGUGAUGAAGGUCUUCGGAUCGUAAAACUCUGUUAUUAGGGAAGAACAAAUGUGUAAGUAACGAUGCACGUCUUGACGGUACCUAAGCAGAAAGCCACGGCUAACUACGU